This 497-nucleotide ribosomal RNA is filed under the name uncultured bacterium. RNAcentral's name for it is "partial 16S ribosomal RNA". It matches the Rfam family "Bacterial small subunit ribosomal RNA", at positions 28 to 507 of the family's 1533-position model. The record is from RNAcentral.
GAUGAACGCUGGCGGCGUGCCUAAUACAUGCCAGUCGAGCGAACAGACGAGGAGCUUGCUCCUCUGACGUUAGCGGCGGACGGGUGAGUAACACGUGGAUAACCUACCUAUAAGACUGGGAUAACUUCGGGAAACCGGAGCUAAUACCGGAUAAUAUAUUGAACCGCAUGGUUCAAUAGUGAAAGACGGUUUUGCUGUCACUUAUAGAUGGAUCCGCGCCGCAUUAGCUAGUUGGUAAGGUAACGGCUUACCAAGGCAACGAUGGGUAGCCGACCUGAGAGAGGGGACGGCAAAACUGGAGCGGAGGGACGGCAGAGAGUCCAACGGGAGGCAGCGAUGGGGAAUCUUAGGGAAUGGGCGAAGGCCGGACGGAGCAACGCAGGGGGAAUGAUGAAGGUCUUCGGAUGGUAGAACGCUGUAAUUAGUAAAGAGCAAAAGCGCAAUUACCUAUGCACGUCUUGACGGUGCCUAAUCAGAAGGCCCGGGCUAACUCCGUG